Molecule: ribosomal RNA, 352 nt
Filed under: uncultured bacterium
Lineage: Bacteria
Description: partial 16S ribosomal RNA
Rfam family: Bacterial small subunit ribosomal RNA
Source: RNAcentral
CCUACGGGAGGCAGCAGUGAGGAAUAUUGGUCAAUGGACGAAAGUCUGAACCAGCCAAGUCGCGUGAAGGAUGACUGCCCUAUGGUUUGUAAACUUCUUUUAUAUGGGAGUAAAAUGUUCCACGUGUGGCAUUUUGUAUGUACCUUAUGAAUAAGCAUCGGCUAACUCCGUGCCAGCAGCCGCGGUAAUACGGAGGAUCCGAGCGUUAUCCGGAUUUAUUGGGUUUAAAGGGAGCGGAGGUGGAUUGUUAAGUCAGUUGUGAAAUUUUGCGGCUCAACCGUAAAAGUGCAGUUGAAACUGGCAUUCUUGAGGAAAGUAGAGGUAGGCGGAAGGCGUGGUGUAGCGGGGAAAU